This 839-nucleotide long non-coding RNA is filed under the name Mus pahari (shrew mouse). RNAcentral's name for it is "predicted gene 13849 (MGP_PahariEiJ_G0004992.1)". Lineage: Eukaryota; Metazoa; Chordata; Mammalia; Rodentia; Muridae. The record is from RNAcentral.
AUGCAAUGAACCCCAGGGAUAAGUUGCAGCCCCAGGCAUGAAUGCCAUAGACUUCUUCUGGUCCUUGUCAAAGCCACCCUCUCCCAGUGCCCCUGAGGAACUGUGUGUGCCCGGGGGAGGCUGGCAGCAGUAGGCACCAUAUGGCUGCCAUGGAGGCGGUCUUUUUGGGAGAAGGGGAAUCUUGGAGCCAGUCUAUGGGCUGGAUGGAACUCCCAGCCCUGCAGAGGAAGCUCUUGUCUGGCACUUGCCUGUCCCUGUCUCAGUGGUCAUGGCUCCUGCAAAGAGACCCCAUGUGGCCAAGAGGACAGUCUAUCGCCCAGCCUUGGGGACUCAGUCUUCCGCUGGCAGCUGUGAGUUCAUGGCUGUGGUGGCCACAUUGGAUCCAGGAGACGCUGCUUCGCCGGUCUUCAUCCAGUUCUUACAUUCUCGCCUCUUCUGUGCUGUUCCCGGAGCCUUAGAGUCACAUAGAUGUCUAAUUUAGGGCUGAGAGCUCACCAGUCACUUGCUCCCCACACUUGGAUCAGCUGUGAGUGUCGCCCCGACUGCCAGUUACCAGGAGCAGUGUGUUCUUUUAAGCAGCUUUAAAUAAUUUCCUUUUGACUUGCAGAUAUGAUUAGUACCCUUCACAAACCCUUCCUUUGAGAGAGGGGAGGUGUACGGCCAGAGUUUACUUGCCUGAAUUAUUUCUUAUUCUGAAAGAGUAGGUUCCAAAUCAACGCUACUGACUGCUCUAUUCAGUCAGCUCAAGGACGGCCAGUAGGUGAACAAAAAUCAAUGGAGAGCGAGUCUCAGAAGUGUCAGAGAAGGGCAAACGUAUUUGACAAAAAAAAAAAAAAAAA